CUCCCGUCUCUCCUCAGCCCAUCAAAGGUAGAGAUUAAACAAAGAGCCAAGAAAAAACUAGAAGAGGCAAGUUUGGGCAAGUCCCAUGCACUCCGUGUCCCAGGGUAGACCUGGUGGCCUUGACCGAGUGCGCUGCAAAGGCAGGGGCAAGCCGGGGCACACUGCACCGCGGGGCCCCGUGGGACUCCUACUGACCCUUCAAAGCCUCGUGCCCCUGCCCGGGAGCCUUCGCCAGCCUGGCCUCCCCCCCGACGACGAGGUGCUCACACACUCUUCUUACGACGACAAACCCGAGGCGCGCCCGGCAGCCUGCGGCCUGAGCCUGGAGCGGCGUCCGUAUCCUCCGCUGAUGACCUCAUAAUCGGUCCCGGGACCGGGCAAAGGAGUGGGUGGCCUGGUGUGGCAGCCGGCCAGCCAUGACCUCAGCGGCCUGGACCCUGACUUCCUCUCCAGGAGCAGCAUUCCUGGGUCGGAGGCCAGAGGCGAGCUGCACGGCAGGGCCAGCCCCGCCCCGUCAACCCUGGGCAACGUGAGUCCUCUGGCCCUCCUGAUGCCCGCAGAUCAAUUUGAAAUGUCAUGGGAGGCCACAGAGGACAGGGUGACCUGGGUCGUUGUGAUGAUGACCCCGGGGGUCAGAGUGGUCCUGGGCCCUCUCUCUCUGCCGGGAGCGGAGUAGAUGAAGCUUCGGUGUCGCCGCAAGCCCGUUAUUAAAUUCUCAGCAGCGUUCAGGCACUCAGAACUCACAAGUUUGGGCAAACUUCAUGUCUGCACCCUCUUCCUGUGUAACCUUACGGUCCUGAGCCGUGCCGCUCUGCUGCGUGUAUUCACUGAGAUUGCUUCAUUGUUCUGAAGCGUGGGGGACAGAAAUGCACUUUUAUGCCAUUCAGACAUCUCCCCUGUCGGGUUCUAGAACGUUCUAUCCCGAAGAAAGCACAGACACUCACAUCAUCUGCCCCCACCUGCCUGCCAGGCUCCUCCAAAGCUGUGCGCUGGUCCUUGGGGCUCUCCUGCCUGCUCUGGGCAGGCCCUCAGAGCCACAGCUCAGUGGUUCCUGUUGCGUUGCGUUGGGAGCGUCAAGGGGGAAACUGCUGUGUCAUGGGGUGACGAGGGACCCUCUCCUGCCGCUACUGUGAAAGCACUCAGGCAUGGAGAAGUGAACGGCACCAGGAAAACAGCCCCUGGGAAAUGAGGCAGGAGGGCCUGGGCUCAGCCAGCGUCACAGAGCUACUUCAAGGCUACUUUUUAGCUUCUGGCGUUCGGGGUGAAUCUCUGUGGAAACAUUAACUCAUUGGGCAAAAGGAGCAGAGACGUGGUGACCAAACCGGACUCUGCAGCCUGGAAGCCUGUCUGUGAGCGCGGACACCAGUGGGUCUGUGCACAUGGGCGCUAGUGGACAUCGCAGCCUUGAAAACACACAAAGGCCAGAGGGCUCUUGGGGAUACGCAUGCGCACCUGGGCUCAGCCCCAGCCUGUAUGGUGGAAGGAGAGAAGCGACCAGCGUCCUCUGACCUUAACAUGAACGUCACACCAUGUUUACCCCCAAAUAAAUAUAUAGAUAAACUUUGUAAGUUGUAGGCCAGCUCAGUUGGCAGAGUGCUUGUACCUCAGCUGGCAGAGAGCUUAUAGCUCAGCUAAUGAAGAGCUUAUAGCUCAGCUGAUGAAGAGCUUGCAGCUCAGCUGAUGAAGGGCUUGUAGCUCAGCUGAUGAAGGGCUUGUAGCUCAGCUGAUGAAGGGCUUGUAGCUCAGCUGAUGAAGGGCUUGCAUAAACUGGGUUAGUGGUACGUUCCUGUCACCCAUCCCUGAAGAGCAGAGGUAGGAUCACGGGUUCGUCCUCAGCAGACAGGCUAAAGCCUGGAGCAGCAGUGCAACUGUUGAGAGCAUGCACUGCUCCUGCAGAGGACGCAAGUUCGAUUCCCAACCCCAAGUUCAGCAGCUCACACCCCUGGUAACUCUGAUGAUUUGGGCAUCUGGGGACACCUGCACUCAUGUCUCAUCUGCAGAAAUCUACACAGACACACAACCAAAUUCACUUAAUAAAAAUAAAUAAGUAACAGCAAGCCCAUCCACGCUCAGCAACGGCCCUUCUGUGGACAGUGCACUGGGGAAUGGAGGAAGAAAAUAAACGGUUCUCCUUGAAAGAAUCAGAUUAACUUUGGAA
Molecule: long non-coding RNA, 2158 nt
Organism: Meriones unguiculatus (Mongolian gerbil)
Lineage: Eukaryota; Metazoa; Chordata; Mammalia; Rodentia; Muridae
Exons: 3
Source: RefSeq, a predicted model, not a curated record